Triticum dicoccoides is the source of this 755-nucleotide long non-coding RNA. RefSeq lists it as uncharacterized. The record is from RefSeq and is a predicted model, not a curated record. Lineage: Eukaryota; Viridiplantae; Streptophyta; Magnoliopsida; Poales; Poaceae. The transcript is spliced from 3 exons.
GCGCCCUCCGCACAACAGCCACCGCCACCACUGCACCCAGGUGUGGCGCUGCUCUUCCGCACGACCCUGACGGCAAGGCAGCGACAAGAGCAUCAGAGCCACUUUUGGCCUCCCCACGCUGGCCUGCGCAUCUCCGCCCCCUGCUUUGCCUCCUCCACCACCGGCUCCUAGCGAGGCGGGAACGAAGCCAACAUCGCCCUCCCAGGUAAGGCAUGAUGUAGCUAUACUUUUGAAAAUCACUCAUGAUUGUCCCGAGUCCCUGGCAAUGAAUCAUGUGGUGAUGCAAAUUUCUGCUGUCCCUGCCAUUCACACUGACGAAAGCUUGUUGGAGUGUCUUCAACCUUGUCGAUGUUCAGUGAGCGAAAAUUUGGAUUCUUCCAUUCUCGUGCAUACCACCUUGCAGAAUUGAACAGUGAUUCCCGGUCUCCACUUCAGAUCUAUUAUAUGGAUGCAGAACAUAUGCCAAGAUGUUUACAGUAUUGUGGUUGCGCCAUAGAAGUCUUUCUUGCUGUGAACCUAAUUUGGAAUCCAGUGUUUCUGUCUCUAUUUGCUUGUUCUGAAUUCGAGAGUCUUUUGAAUUUCAGAGUAUUGAUCAAUCAUUUAAAGCAGUGAUUACAUACUUAUCCAGAAAGUGGUACUCUUGUUCUGCCUUAUUUUGGAGGAACAUAAGGCAAGUUUCUAUUAAUACCCUCCAACUAAUGGCAAGAAGUUUGAUCAGUUUCAUAAACUCCCUAUAUUUCUAGCUCCAGACCAUG